GACGAACGCUGGCGGCGUGCUUAACACAUGCAAGUCGAACGGAAAGGCCCUGCUUUUGUGGGGUGCUCGAGUGGCGAACGGGUGAGUAACACGUGAGUAACCUGCCCUUGACUUUGGGAUAACUUCAGGAAACUGGGGCUAAUACCGGAUAGGAGCUCCUGCUGCAUGGUGGGGGGUGGAAAGUUUCGGCGGUUGGGGAUGGACUCGCGGCUUAUCAGCUUGUUGGUGGGGUAGUGGCUUACCAAGGCUUUGACGGGUAGCCGGCCUGAGAGGGUGACCGGCCACAUUGGGACUGAGAUACGGCCCAGACUCCUACGGGAGGCAGCAGUCGGAAAUAUUGCACAAUGGGCGGAAGCCUGAUGCAGCAACGCCGCGUGCGGGAUGACGGCCUUCGGGUUGUAAACCGCUUUCGCCUGUGACGAAGCGUGAGUGACGGUAAUGGGUAAAGAAGCACCGGCUAACUACGUG
Molecule: ribosomal RNA, 468 nt
Filed under: uncultured bacterium
Lineage: Bacteria
Description: partial 16S ribosomal RNA
Rfam family: Bacterial small subunit ribosomal RNA
Source: RNAcentral